RNAcentral lists this ribosomal RNA (460 nucleotides) under uncultured bacterium. RNAcentral's name for it is "SSU rRNA". It matches the Rfam family "Bacterial small subunit ribosomal RNA", at positions 26 to 518 of the family's 1533-position model. The record is from RNAcentral.
AGAAUCAACGCUGGCGGCGUGCCUAACACAUGCAAGUCGAUCGAGAAAGUGGAGCAAUCCAUGAGUAAAGAGGCGCACGGGUGAGUAACACGUGACUAACCUACCUUUUAGUGGGGGAUAACCUAGGGAAACCUGGGCUAAUACCGCAUAAUACUUACGAGUCAAAGCAGCAAUGCGCUGAAAGAGGGGGUCGCGGUCGAUUAGUUAGUUGGCAGGGUAAUGGCCUACCAAGACUGUGAUCGAUAUCCGGCCUGAGAGGGCGCACGGACACACUGGAACUGAAACACGGUCCAGACUCCUACGGGAGGCAGCAGUGGGGAAUUUUGCGCAAUGGGGGAAACCCUGACGCAGCAACGCCGCGUGGAGGAUGAAGUCCCUUGGGACGUAAACUCCUUUCGAUCGGGACGAUAAUGACGGUACCGGAAGAAGAAGCCCCGGCUAACUUCGCGCCAGCAGCCGC